Puntigrus tetrazona (Sumatra barb) is the source of this 577-nucleotide long non-coding RNA. RefSeq lists it as uncharacterized. The transcript is spliced from 3 exons. The record is from RefSeq and is a predicted model, not a curated record. NCBI's taxonomy places the organism in Eukaryota, Metazoa, Chordata, Actinopteri, Cypriniformes, Cyprinidae.
CCUGGCUGCCGGAGUUUUCAGUCAAGUAAUUGAAGACAAAUGAAGAGAGCUCCUCAUCUAACAGUGAAGCGCAGUCCGCCAUCUUCUAGAGAAUGAGCUGUUGUUGGAGGUGGACCAGAACACCAGCUUACAAAGUCUGCUUAAUGUACAUCCUCUGACCUUAAACCCCUCGCCGUUCUCCGUUCCAGUUGGCCAGAGAGUUUGAGGGCUUGGCCUGGUGGAAAAGUAAGAUGAGUUGUGAGGAGAGAAGAGAGUUUGGGGAAAAGAAUGAUGCUAAUGAUACAAAGAAAACAGGUAAGUAUUAAUCUUGUAAAGUGUCCAUAUUAUGGAUUUUGGAAAAUUGCCUUUCAUGUAGUGAAUGAAAACAUCCUGCAGUUUUAAAUCUGAAAGUGCACUGUCUAAAAAGUUAUUGUCUCAAAAAAACCAGUCGACUUUGAAUCAUUGAAACAUGAGUCUUGUUGAUGGUAAAAUGAGACGUUAGCAUAUUGUCCGCCCACGUUUUGGUCUUUUUGCUUUGGUUUGAAUGAAAAUGCAAAUUUUUUUCUUUACCACUAGGUCCCGCUUUUGAAUUUUUAAA